RNAcentral lists this non-coding RNA (304 nucleotides) under Lactobacillus selangorensis. RNAcentral describes it as "Paralactobacillus selangorensis Bacterial large subunit ribosomal RNA". It matches the Rfam family "Bacterial large subunit ribosomal RNA", at positions 1218 to 1525 of the family's 2925-position model. Lineage: Bacteria; Bacillati; Bacillota; Bacilli; Lactobacillales; Lactobacillaceae. The record is from Rfam by way of RNAcentral.
GCGUUGUUGGGUAGGGGAGCGUUCUGUAAGCCGUUGAAGGUGGCCUGUGAGGGUUGCUGGAGGUAUCAGAAGUGCGAAUGCUGACAUAAGUAACGAUAAAGCGGGUGAAAAGCCCGCUCGCCGGAAGACCAAGGGUUCCUGUCCAACGUUAAUCGGGGCAGGGUGAGUCGACCCCUAAGGCGAGGCUGAAAAGCGUAGUCGAUGGGAAACAGGUUAAUAUUCCUGUACUUGGUGUUACUGCGAAGGGGGGACGGAGAAGGCUAGGCUAGCCGGGCGACGGUUGUCCCGGUUUAAGCGUGUAGGG